This 253-nucleotide ribosomal RNA is filed under the name uncultured bacterium. Its description in RNAcentral is "partial 16S ribosomal RNA". It matches the Rfam family "Bacterial small subunit ribosomal RNA", at positions 524 to 776 of the family's 1533-position model. The record is from RNAcentral.
UACAGAGGGUGCGAGCGUUGUUCGGAAUUAUUGGGCGGAAAGGGCGCGUAGGCGGUGCGGUAAGUCACCUGUGAAAUCUCCUGGCUCAACUGGGAGCUUGCAGGCGAAACUGCCGUGCUGGAGUGUGGGAGAGGUGCGUGGAAUUCCUGGUGUAGCGGUGAAAUGCGUAGAUAUCAGGAGGAACACCUGUGGCGAAAGCGGCGCACUGGACCACAACUGACGCUGAGGCGCGAAAGCGUGGGGAGCGAACAGG